AGAUGCUUAGGUUAAUUACUAAACCAGUAGCCUUCAAAGCUACAAAUAGGGCUUAAACUCCCUAGAAUCUG
This 71-nucleotide transfer RNA is filed under the name Ablepharus pannonicus. RNAcentral's name for it is "tRNA-Trp". It matches the Rfam family "tRNA". Rfam says of the family: Transfer RNA (tRNA) molecules are approximately 80 nucleotides in length. Their secondary structure includes four short double-helical elements and three loops (D, anti-codon, and T loops). Further hydrogen bonds mediate the characteristic L-shaped molecular structure. tRNAs have two regions of fundamental functional importance: the anti-codon, which is responsible for specific mRNA codon recognition, and the 3' end, to which the tRNAs corresponding amino acid is attached (by aminoacyl-tRNA synthetases). tRNAs cope with the degeneracy of the genetic code in two manners: having more than one tRNA (with a specific anti-codon) for a particular amino acid; and 'wobble' base-pairing, i.e. permitting non-standard base-pairing at the 3rd anti-codon position. Lineage: Eukaryota; Metazoa; Chordata; Lepidosauria; Squamata; Scincidae. The record is from RNAcentral.